UAGUCCACGCCGUAAACGAUGAGUACUAGCUAUUGGGGGUAUUGACUCCCUCAGUGGCGCAGCUAACGCAUUAAGUACUCCGCCUGGGAAGUACGGUCGCAAGACAAAACUCAAAGGAAUUGACGGGGGCCCGCACAAGCGGUGGAUUAUGUGGUUUAAUUCGAAGCAACGCGCAGAACCUUACCUAGGCUUGAAAUCCCUCGAAUCCCGAGUAACUUUGGGAGUGCCCGCAAGGGAAUGAGGUGACAGGUGCUGCAUGGCUGUCGUCAGCUCGUGUUGUGAAAUGUUGGGUUAAGUCCCGCAACGAGCGCAACCCCUGCCUAUAGUUGCCAGCAAGUAAUGUUGGGGACUCUAUAGGGACUGCCUGCGCAAGCAGAGAGGAAGGAGGGGACGACGUCAAGUCAUCAUGGCCCUUACGCCCGGGGCUACACACGUGCUACAAUGGAGAGUACAGAGGGUAGCGACAUAGCAAUAUGAAGCCAAUCUCAAAAAGCUACUUCUC
RNAcentral lists this ribosomal RNA (502 nucleotides) under uncultured bacterium. RNAcentral's name for it is "bacterial SSU rRNA". It matches the Rfam family "Bacterial small subunit ribosomal RNA", at positions 791 to 1289 of the family's 1533-position model. The record is from RNAcentral.